AUUCUAAUCAAAUCCUACACCAAAUCCUUAUGAAAUCAUAAUAAAAUCCUAACUAAAAACUAAAUAAAUCCUAAUGAAGCUCUAAAUUUAUCCUCUUUAAGCCUUAAAUAUACCUUAAUCAAAUUCCAACUAAAUAUUAAACCAAAUCCUAAUCAAAUCCUAAUGAAUUUUAAUCAAAUCCUAAAUCAAAUCUUAAUGAAAUCUUAACCAAAUCUUCACCAAAUUCUGUAUUAAAUUCUAAUCUAAUCCUAAAUCAAAUCCUAUAAAAUCUUAAAUCUUAAAUCAAAUUUUAAUCAAAUCUUUAAUAAAUUCUAACUAAAUUCUAAAUUCUAAAUCAAUCCUAAUCAAAUCUUAAAUCCUUAAUUAACUCUAAUCAAUUUCUAAUCAAAUCUUAAAUCUUAAAAUAAAUUCUUAAUAAAUCCUAUAAUAGAAUGGAAUAUUAAUAAUUAAUUAUUUAACCAUUUACUUCAACUACAAAUUUGCACACUUCUCAAUAAUUAAGUUGUCAAUAAGCACAAAAAUAUUUUAA
This 529-nucleotide long non-coding RNA is filed under the name Physcomitrium patens. RNAcentral describes it as "long non-coding RNA (PPAT_LNC002206)". The record is from RNAcentral. Lineage: Eukaryota; Viridiplantae; Streptophyta; Bryopsida; Funariales; Funariaceae.